CGGCGUGGAUGAGGCAUGCAAGUCGAACGAAUGACUGAUUAACUUUCGGGUUAAUCACGAUUUAGUGGCGAAAGGGUUAGUAAUAUAUGAACAACUUACCCUUAACUCUGGGAUAACAGGUGGAAACGCCUGCUAAUACCGGAUGUGGUAGUGACUAGGCAUCUAGACACUAUUAAAGUGGGGGACCUUCGGGCCUCACGGUUAAGGAGAGGUUCAUACGAUAUCAGCUUGUUGGUGAGGUAAUGGCUCACCAAGGCUAAGACGUCUAGGCGGAUUGAGAGGUCGACCGCCAACACUGGGACUGA
Molecule: ribosomal RNA, 305 nt
Filed under: uncultured Chlamydiae bacterium
Lineage: Bacteria; Pseudomonadati; Chlamydiota; Chlamydiia
Description: bacterial SSU rRNA
Rfam family: Bacterial small subunit ribosomal RNA
Source: RNAcentral